UUAAGCGACUAAGCGUACACGGUGGAUGCCCUGGCAGUCAGAGGCGAUGAAGGACGUGCUAAUCUGCGAUAAGCGUCGGUAAGGUGAUAUGAACCGUUAUAACCGGCGAUUUCCGAAUGGGGAAACCCAGUGUGAUUCGUCACACUAUCAUUAACUGAAUCCAUAGGUUAAUGAGGCGAACCGGGGGAACUGAAACAUCUAAGUACCCCGAGGAAAAGAAAUCAACCGAGAUUCCCCCAGUAGCGGCGAGCGAACGGGGAGGAGCCCAGAGCCUGAAUCAGUGUGUGUGUUAGUGGAAGCGUCUGGAAAGGCGCGCGAUACAGGGUGACAGCCCCGUACACAAAAAUGCACAUACUGUGAGCUCGAUGAGUAGGGCGGGACACGUGGUAUCCUGUCUGAAUAUGGGGGGGACCAUCCUCCAAGGCUAAAUACUCCUGACUGACCGAUAGUGAACCAGUACCGUGAGGGAAAGGCGAAAAGAACCCCGGCGAGGGGAGUGAAAAAGAACCUGAAACCGUGUACGUACAAGCAGUGGGAGCCUCUUUAUGGGGUGACUGCGUACCUUUUGUAUAAUGGGUCAGCGACUUAUAUUCUGUAGCAAGGUUAACCGAAUAGGGGAGCCGAAGGGAAACCGAGUCUUAACUGGGCGUUAAGUUGCAGGGUAUAGACCCGAAACCCGGUGAUCUAGCCAUGGGCAGGUUGAAGGUUGGGUAACACUAACUGGAGGACCGAACCGACUAAUGUUGAAAAAUUAGCGGAUGACUUGUGGCUGGGGGUGAAAGGCCAAUCAAACCGGGAGAUAGCUGGUUCUCCCCGAAAGCUAUUUAGGUAGCGCCUCGUGAAUUCAUCUCCGGGGGUAGAGCACUGUUUCGGCAAGGGGGUCAUCCCGACUUACCAACCCGAUGCAAACUGCGAAUACCGGAGAAUGUUAUCACGGGAGACACACGGCGGGUGCUAACGUCCGUCGUGAAGAGGGAAACAACCCAGACCGCCAGCUAAGGUCCCAAAGUCAUGGUUAAGUGGGAAACGAUGUGGGAAGGCCCAGACAGCCAGGAUGUUGGCUUAGAAGCAGCCAUCAUUUAAAGAAAGCGUAAUAGCUCACUGGUCGAGUCGGCCUGCGCGGAAGAUGUAACGGGGCUAAACCAUGCACCGAAGCUGCGGCAGCGACACUAAGUGUUGUUGGGUAGGGGAGCGUUCUGUAAGCCUGUGAAGAUGUGCUGUGAGGCAUGCUGGAGGUAUCAGAAGUGCGAAUGCUGACAUAAGUAACGAUAAAGCGGGUGAAAAGCCCGCUCGCCGGAAGACCAAGGGUUCCUGUCCAACGUUAAUCGGGGCAGGGUGAGUCGACCCCUAAGGCGAGGCCGAAAGGCGUAGUCGAUGGGAAACAGGUUAAUAUUCCUGUACUUGGUGUUACUGCGAAGGGGGGACGGAGAAGGCUAUGUUGGCCGGGCGACGGUUGUCCCGGUUUAAGCGUGUAGGCUGGUUUUCCAGGCAAAUCCGGAAAAUCAAGGCUGAGGCGUGAUGACGAGGCACUACGGUGCUGAAGCGACAAAUGCCCUGCUUCCAGGAAAAGCCUCUAAGCAUCAGGUAACAACAAAUCGUACCCCAAACCGACACAGGUGGUCAGGUAGAGAAUACCAAGGCGCUUGAGAGAACUCGGGUGAAGGAACUAGGCAAAAUGGUGCCGUAACUUCGGGAGAAGGCACGCUGAUAUGUAGGUGAAGCGACUUGCUCGUGGAGCUGAAAUCAGUCGAAGAUACCAGCUGGCUGCAACUGUUUAUUAAAAACACAGCACUGUGCAAACACGAAAGUGGACGUAUACGGUGUGACGCCUGCCCGGUGCCGGAAGGUUAAUUGAUGGGGUUAGCGGUAACGCGAAGCUCUUGAUCGAAGCCCCGGUAAACGGCGGCCGUAACUAUAACGGUCCUAAGGUAGCGAAAUUCCUUGUCGGGUAAGUUCCGACCUGCACGAAUGGCGUAAUGAUGGCCAGGCUGUCUCCACCCGAGACUCAGUGAAAUUGAACUCGCUGUGAAGAUGCAGUGUACCCGCGGCAAGACGGAAAGACCCCGUGAACCUUUACUAUAGCUUGACACUGAACAUUGAGCCUUGAUGUGUAGGAUAGGUGGGAGGCUUUGAAGUGUGGACGCCAGUCUGCAUGGAGCCGACCUUGAAAUACCACCCUUUAAUGUUUGAUGUUCUAACGUUGGCCCGUAAUCCGGGUUGCGGACAGUGUCUGGUGGGUAGUUUGACUGGGGCGGUCUCCUCCUAAAGAGUAACGGAGGAGCACGAAGGUUGGCUAAUCCUGGUCGGACAUCAGGAGGUUAGUGCAAUGGCAUAAGCCAGCUUGACUGCGAGCGUGACGGCGCGAGCAGGUGCGAAAGCAGGUCAUAGUGAUCCGGUGGUUCUGAAUGGAAGGGCCAUCGCUCAACGGAUAAAAGGUACUCCGGGGAUAACAGGCUGAUACCGCCCAAGAGUUCAUAUCGACGGCGGUGUUUGGCACCUCGAUGUCGGCUCAUCACAUCCUGGGGCUGAAGUAGGUCCCAAGGGUAUGGCUGUUCGCCAUUUAAAGUGGUACGCGAGCUGGGUUUAGAACGUCGUGAGACAGUUCGGUCCCUAUCUGCCGUGGGCGCUGGAGAACUGAGGGGGGCUGCUCCUAGUACGAGAGGACCGGAGUGGACGCAUCACUGGUGUUCGGGUUGUCAUGCCAAUGGCACUGCCCGGUAGCUAAAUGCGGAAGAGAUAAGUGCUGAAAGCAUCUAAGCACGAAACUUGCCCCGAGAUGAGUUCUCCCUGACCCUUUAAGGGUCCUGAAGGAACGUUGAAGACGACGACGUUGAUAGGCCGGGUGUGUAAGCGCAGCGAUGCGUUGAGCUAACCGGUACUAAUGAACCGUGAGGCUUAACCUU
Molecule: ribosomal RNA, 2903 nt
Filed under: Escherichia fergusonii
Lineage: Bacteria; Pseudomonadati; Pseudomonadota; Gammaproteobacteria; Enterobacterales; Enterobacteriaceae
Description: bacterial LSU rRNA
Rfam family: Bacterial large subunit ribosomal RNA
Source: RNAcentral